RNAcentral lists this ribosomal RNA (399 nucleotides) under uncultured soil bacterium. RNAcentral's name for it is "bacterial SSU rRNA". It matches the Rfam family "Bacterial small subunit ribosomal RNA", at positions 26 to 416 of the family's 1533-position model. The record is from RNAcentral.
AGGACGAACGCUGGCGGCGCGCUUAAUACAUGCAAGUCGAGCGAGAAGCCACCGCUCCGUAAGGAGUGGUGGUGGAAAGCGGCGAACGGGUGAGUAACACGUGGGUAAUGUGCCCUGAACAUCGGGAUAACAGCCGGAAACGGCUGCUAAUACCGAAUAACCCUGCAAUGUCGCAUGACGAAGCAGGCAAAGUUCCGGCGGUUCAGGAUCAGCCCGCGGUGUAUCAGCUUGUUGGUGGGGUAACGGCCUACCAAGGCUUUGACGCAUAGCUGGCGUGAGAGCGCGACCAGCCACACUGGGACUGAGACACGGCCCAGACUUCUACGGAAGGCAGCAGUAGGGAAUCUUGCGCAAUGGGCGAAAGCCUGACGCAGCGACGCCGCGUGAGGGAUGACGGCC